This 322-nucleotide long non-coding RNA is filed under the name Elaeis guineensis (African oil palm). RNAcentral describes it as "long non-coding RNA (EGUI_LNC025606)". Lineage: Eukaryota; Viridiplantae; Streptophyta; Magnoliopsida; Arecales; Arecaceae. The record is from RNAcentral.
CACCAACCAAACUUUUGUUGUGAAAAGGAGUAUUUCUGGCAAGUUCAGACUGUGACUUUGACUUAGUUUAACUGCAAGCUUCUGCAUGACUCUUUCUUCUAGGAGCACAAGAUUCACUUUUUACUUUUUUAGUGUGUGGUGAGCCUUUUUUUUUUUCUACUGAAACUGUAGGCACAAAAUGCCUAAAGGAUUUUACUCGAAGUCCUUUAUGAGCAUUAUGAUAUCAUCAAUUGAUAGUUUCUUAUCUUGAAAAAAAAAAAAAGUAUAGAAAUAUAGUUGCUGUUAAAUAAUUGAAAUUGCAAUAUGAUACUUUGAGGAAUAA